CCCGCACAAGCGGUGGAGCAUGUGGUUUAAUUCGAAGCAACGCGAAGAACCUUACCAGGUCUUGACAUCCCCUGACAACCCGAGAGAUCCGGGCGUUCCCCUUCGGGGGGACAGGGUGACAGGUGGUGCAUGGUUGUCGUCAGCUCGUGUCGUGAGAUGUUGGGUUAAGUCCCGCAACGAGCGCAACCCUCGACCUUAGUUGCCAGCAUUCAGUUGGGCACUCUAAGGUGACUGCCGGCUAAAAGUCGGAGGAAGGUGGGGAUGACGUCAAGUCCUCAUGGCCCUUAUGUCCAGGGCUACACACGUGCUACAAUGGCCGGUACAGAGUGACGCGAAGCCGCGAGGUGGAGCAAAUCGCAGAAAGCCGGCCUUAGUUCGGAUUGGAGUCUGAAACUCGACUCCAUGAAGGUGGAAUCGCUAGUAAUCGCGCAUCAGCAUGGCGCGGUGAAUACGUUCCCGGGCCUU
This 465-nucleotide ribosomal RNA is filed under the name uncultured Anoxybacillus sp. Its description in RNAcentral is "bacterial SSU rRNA". It matches the Rfam family "Bacterial small subunit ribosomal RNA", at positions 920 to 1382 of the family's 1533-position model. The record is from RNAcentral. Lineage: Bacteria; Bacillati; Bacillota; Bacilli; Caryophanales; Anoxybacillaceae.